UACGUAGGGGGCUAGCGUUGUCCGGAAUCAUUGGGCGUAAAGCGCGCGUAGGCGGCCAGAUAAGUCCGGUGUGAAAGUCAAAGGCUCAACCUUUGAAUGCCGCUGGAAACUGUCUGGCUUGAGUCCGGAAGGGGCGAGUGGAAUUCCCGGUGUAGCGGUGAAAUGCGUAGAGAUCGGGAGGAAUACCAGUGGCGAAGGCGGCCUUCUGGACUGACACUGACGCUGAGGCGCGAAAGCCAGGGGAGCGAACAGG
Molecule: ribosomal RNA, 253 nt
Filed under: uncultured bacterium
Lineage: Bacteria
Description: partial 16S ribosomal RNA
Rfam family: Bacterial small subunit ribosomal RNA
Source: RNAcentral